UUGUAAAGUUCCACUUGUUUUCUUGCGUGUUUGUUCACGUGUGUGCAUGUGGAGCGGGAAUGCCCAUGCGUACUUGUGCACAUGUGCGUACCAGCCAGAGGUCAACGUUGGUUUCUUGUCUCAGCUUUUUUCAGAUGGUCCUGAGGAUGAACCCGGGGUCCUUGUGCUCGCAUGCCAAACACCUUACUGUCUGAGCCCUGAACCCCUUACUUCCUUUGAGACGGGCUGUUAGAAGGCAAGAGAGACCAGGACCCAGCACACAGGACGGAGCCAUCUACACUCACAAUGCAAUUUCCCACCCCAACUAAGCCUCUCUGUUACCCCCUUAAUUGUCUCCUAGUUAAUUUGCAAACAGCCAAGAAAUCAAGAUUAAUAUCCCAUGCUCUAUCUCUGCAAUUUCCACAAGAAAUCAUGCAUGUGUUUAUUGCUAAAGAUAGUGGAGUCAGUGUGU
Molecule: long non-coding RNA, 451 nt
Organism: Mesocricetus auratus (golden hamster)
Lineage: Eukaryota; Metazoa; Chordata; Mammalia; Rodentia; Cricetidae
Exons: 3
Source: RefSeq, a predicted model, not a curated record